This 164-nucleotide ribosomal RNA is filed under the name uncultured bacterium. RNAcentral describes it as "partial 16S ribosomal RNA". It matches the Rfam family "Bacterial small subunit ribosomal RNA", at positions 355 to 511 of the family's 1533-position model. The record is from RNAcentral.
UAGGGAAUCUUCCACAAUGGACGAAAGUCUGAUGGAGCAACGCCGCGUGAGUGAAGAAGGGUUUCGGCUCGUAAAACUCUGUUGUUAAAGAAGAACAUAUCUGAGAGUAACUGUUCAGGUAUUGACGGUAUUUAACCAGAAAGUCNCGGCUAACUACGUGCCAG